RNAcentral lists this ribosomal RNA (442 nucleotides) under uncultured bacterium. RNAcentral's name for it is "bacterial SSU rRNA". It matches the Rfam family "Bacterial small subunit ribosomal RNA", at positions 354 to 796 of the family's 1533-position model. The record is from RNAcentral.
GUGGGGAAUAUUGCGCAAUGGACGAAAGUCUGACGCAGCGACGCCGCGUGUGGGAUGAAGCCUUUCGGGGCGUAAACCACUGUUGCCCGGGACGAACAUCCCCUUUCGAGGGGACUGACGGUACCGGGUGAGGAAGCACCGGCUAACUCUGUGCCAGCAGCCGCGGUAAUACAGAGGGUGCGAGCGUUGUCCGGAAUCACUGGGCGUAAAGGGCGCGUAGGUGGCUUGGUAAGCGUGUGGUGAAAGUCCGGGGCUCAACCCCGGAUCUGCCGUGCGAACUGCUGAGCUCGAGCAAUGUAGAGGCAGGUGGAAUUUCGGGUGUAGCGGUGGAAUGCGUAGAUAUCCGAAAGAACACCAGUGGCGAAGGCGGCCUGCUGGGCAUUUGCUGACACUGAGGCGCGACAGCGUGGGGAGCAAACAGGAUUAGAAACCCCAGUAGUCC